Molecule: ribosomal RNA, 371 nt
Filed under: uncultured organism
Description: partial 16S ribosomal RNA
Rfam family: Bacterial small subunit ribosomal RNA
Source: RNAcentral
GUAGGUGGCAAGCGUUGUCCGGAAUUAUUGGGCGUAAAGCGCGCGCAGGCGGUUCUUUAAGUCUGAUGUGAAAGCCCACGGCUCAACCGUGGAGGGUCAUUGGAAACUGGAGAACUUGAGUACAGAAGAGGAAAGCGGAAUUCCACGUGUAGCGGUGAAAUGCGUAGAGAUGUGGAGGAACACCAGUGGCGAAGGCGGCUUUCUGGUCUGUAACUGACGCUGAGGCGCGAAAGCGUGGGGAGCAAACAGGAUUAGAUACCCUGGUAGUCCACGCCGUAAACGAUGAGUGCUAAGUGUUAGGGGGUUUCCGCCCCCCUUAGUGCUGCAGCUAACGCAUUAAGCACUCCGCCUGGGAUACGGCCGCAAGGCUG